This 478-nucleotide ribosomal RNA is filed under the name uncultured bacterium. RNAcentral's name for it is "partial 16S ribosomal RNA". It matches the Rfam family "Bacterial small subunit ribosomal RNA", at positions 355 to 824 of the family's 1533-position model. The record is from RNAcentral.
UAGGGAAUCUUCCACAGUGGACGCAAGUCUGAUGGAGCAACGCCGCGUGAGUGAAGAAGGUCUUCGGAUCGUAAAGCUCUGUUGUUGGUGAAGAAGGAUAGAGGCAGUAACUGGUCUUUAUUUGACGGUAAUCAACCAGAAAGUCACGGCUAACUACGUGCCAGCAGCCGCGGUAGUACGUAGGUGGCAAGCGUUGUCCGGAUUUAUUGGGCGUAAAGCGAGCGCAGGCGGAAUGAUAAGUCUGAUGUGAAAGCCCACGGCUCAACCGUGGAACUGCAUCGGAAACUGUCAUUCUUGAGUGCAGAAGAGGAGAGUGGAACUCCAUGUGUAGCGGCUGGAAUGCGUAGAUAUAUGGAAGAACACCAGUGGCGAAGGCGGCUCUCUGGUCUGCAACUGACGCUGAGGCUCGAAAGCAUGGGUAGCGAACAGGAUUAGAUACCCUGGUAGUCCAUGCCGUAAACGAUGAGCGCUAGGUGUU